CUUCUUCUUCUGCUUGAGGAUGCUCUUUUCUUGGUGUUAUUGCUGUUGUGGAGAUGGUUGAUCCCGGGACAUCAUUUCGACACCAUUCGACAAAAUCAUUAUUAGGUUGAAUCAUGCCGACUGUAGAAUGUGAUUCAUUUUGCUGAUAAGACUCAUUACUCACUACACAUUCAUCCUCCUUAUUCUCAACCACAUUCCAUAUAUUGCGCGCUUGUGCUCGGAUAACAACUUUCCAAUCAUUGUCAAGUUUUAUGUCAUUAACAUAAUAAA
Molecule: long non-coding RNA, 270 nt
Filed under: Salvia miltiorrhiza (redroot sage)
Lineage: Eukaryota; Viridiplantae; Streptophyta; Magnoliopsida; Lamiales; Lamiaceae
Description: long non-coding RNA (SMIL_LNC013920)
Source: RNAcentral